Molecule: ribosomal RNA, 491 nt
Filed under: uncultured bacterium
Lineage: Bacteria
Description: partial 16S ribosomal RNA
Rfam family: Bacterial small subunit ribosomal RNA
Source: RNAcentral
AGUGAACGCUGGCGGUAGGCCUAACACAUGCAAGUCGAACGGCAGCACAGUAAGGGCUUGCUCUUACGGGUGGCGAGUGGCGGACGGGUGAGGAAUACAUCGGAAUCUACUUUUUCGUGGGGGAUAACGUAGGGAAACUUACGCUAAUACCGCAUACGACCUACGGGUGAAAGCAGGGGAUCUUCGGACCUUGCGCGAUUGAAUGAGCCGAUGUCGGAUUAGCUAGUUGGCGGGGUAAAGGCCCACCAAGGCGACGAUCCGUAGCUGGUCUGAGAGGAUGAUCAGCCACACUGGAACUGAGACACGGUCCAGACUCCUACGGGAGGCAGCAGUGGGGAAUAUUGGACAGUGGGCGCAAGCCUGAUCCAGCCAUACCGCGUGGGUGAAGAAGGCCUUCGGGUUGUAAAGCCCUUUUGUUGGGAAAGAAAAGCAGCAGGUUAAUACCCCGCUGUUCUGACGGUACCCAAAGAAUAAGCACCGGCUAACUUCGU